CUUUGCCAUUAUCUCUGCUUCUGUGUUCUCCCUCUUCUUCCAGACUGUGUAGCAGAUGGAAACCCUUCAGAUGUUCAUGUAGGGUCAAGAGAAUAUCAAAGUGGCUCUGCAGACGAUGACUUUCAAAUAGCCAUGGGACUGGACUCCACCUGGGAAACCAGAAAAACCUUGUGGAGACCAGGCCCCAGGUCAGAACCGUCCCUGCCCAGAGUUGUGACUUACCCCAGGGAGGAGAGCGAGAUGUUACUCUUGUUCUUGACGAAUGACUACUUGGUUUUGCAUACACAUAUAAGUACCUUUUUCCCUUAAUGAAUGUGCUGCAAAAUGGAAUGAGUAUUUUUUCCUAAAUGCAUCAACCACAGAAAUUUCAGUAAAUGGAGUCUGCUCUUUUUACAAUCCUGAAUCAAAAUGUCAAACCAGCACAACUCAAUUAUGGGAAAGGAAAUAAAGCAACAUGCUGAAUACCAGCAAGUUAUUUAUGAAAUACUUCAAAUUGCCAAUGCCAUAACUACCUGUGGAAAAUGAGAACACACAAGAGCAUAAACUCAGCUGUGGGAAAAUUGACUCAGAGCAACUUGUUUGCAAAGUUUUAAAAUUAAAUUUUUCACCCCAUCUGAGUUUUAUAGACUGGUUGCACCCUUCAGUCUGUUACUGGUUUGGCUAAAAAGAUUUUUUAGGUGCAAAGAAAUGAGGGGAAGGGAAGAAAGAAUCAGAAUUCAUGCAUUUGAAUCUUAAAAAAGGUAAAGGGACUUGUUAUUUUGUCAAUACAAUAUUGAUUUGCAUUUUGCUGUUCUUAAAAAAGAUCAGUCACCCCAAAAUCCUUUCUACAGAGGAGACAAUAUUGCAGUUGAAUAAUUUUUCUUUGCAUUUUUAAGCAGAGCACCUUAUUCCAUAUUUUGAUGAGAGAUAAGGUGCAGUGACUCUAAUGUCAUGGGAGGUUGUACCUGAGUGCUUCAUAAUUGAAUGCAAAGCCAGAUAUUUCCAGUGAAAUAAGUGUCUUUAUUUAUGACAAAGGCAACAAAUUCAGAACCUCUCUACAGCUAAUGGGAGACAUUAAGUAACUCCAAGAAAUACAUUUGGCAUUAAUGCAAUACAUUGUUUUUCAAAAGUAAUAAUAACAGUUUGAGCCACAGUUGGGAAAUCAAUGACUGAAGUUAUUUGCUCUAAUGACUACAUGUACAGAUCACCUCUGAGUAAUACCGUUCUUCUAAAGGUCAAGUUAUUAGAUCCUGUAAUUUGUGAAUAUUUUUUAUUUUCUCCAUUGCUAUGGGAAGGCAGGAGCUGGGAAAGCAAAGGUCGUGAGGUCUGGUUAAAUCAUUUGAAGAGUCGGAUAAGGGAGUACGUGUGUCCUACGGACCCUGACCUCUGCACCCAAGGAUGAAUAUACUGAGCCUGAGCAGAGGGCUGUACUGGUGCCCCAUUAUGGCACCUCCACCCCAGCAGGAGAAGGGCUGGAGGCAAACAACACAUUCCUCCUCUUCCCCAUCACAUCCCUCUCUCUUCCCUGCAAAGCAGCAGAGCAGAAUUGGCUGCCUUAUCUGCAGCUGUUGGGUCCCAGCAGAGACAUGUGCUCGAAAAAGGAGUGCUCUGUGUUAAAAAGUAAUUCUGCAAGACGGAGAAGGUUCCCAGGAUUAAAGCUCCCAGUCACUAUGGAAAAUACCUCUUACAUAAAUGUUAUCUGCUUUGUGGAGAAAAAAAACCCCAAAAGAUCAUAAAGUUUCAGCAAAUCUAUGCCAGCCUUAAUGGAAAGAUGGAUGGCAUUUUCAGCUCUGUUUGUGCUCUCCCAUGCAAGACCAGCACUGGAAAAUACCCAGUGGUACCGCUGGCACGGGAUGCUGUCCUCUAGCCAGGACAAAGGUGUAGAUGGAGGAUCGAUAAGAAUUGAUGCCCUGUUUCUUCUCACUGAGCUUCCACGUUCAGAAGUGUUCUCCAGGGACUCCAGAGAAGUACAACCCAUGGCUGGAGGCUGGAGUGGGAGCAGCGGGCUAAGAGAAAAUGAUGGCCAGCUCCCACCAAGUUUGGCUCACGAAAAUUGUCCACAAUUAACGAACAAGAUCGUGUCUCCAUUUUACCACUGCUAAAAAAAGCUGCCAAAGUCCCAUCCUGAUAUUGCAAGAGAAGGCUUCCAUCUGUAAUGCCUGGGUACUGCCAUUGCCUCAUGGACACCCACCACUGACAACGGCUCUCUGGAUACCUCCCUGAUUACACCCGGCUCCUGGCUCUUGGUACCUAAAGUCUCUAGGUUUCUGGAAUUGCUGAUCACCGUUGCAGGCUUCAUCACCCCAAAGAAAUAAAGAACUUGAAGCACAAAUGGCAGCUCUGCUACCUUCUUGGAGCGUUUGGGCCAAGAUAAGUUACACUCCAGCAGAUCCUUUAAAACAACCUCACGGGUCCCAGCUGAGGCACAACCCUGAGCACAACUGUCUUCAUCUGAACUUUAGUGGAUGAGAUGCUGGGAAAUGCAAGGGAAGGCGGAAUUCUUCCUCCUCCAUCUACCAAAAGAGGAGAAGAGCUACCUGGGAGAGUGAUGAAGUGAGAAAUUGCUGACAGAGUGAAUUUCUUCUGAAUAAGAAAGUUGUACUGUAACAUGGAACACGGUGUUAUUUUGCUUUCUUGGUGUGGCGAUUGCACACACAAAUUCUGCCAGACCACCCAUCUGGGUGGGUGUGUACAGCUACAAGAACUACCUUCACACAUACAUUGCAGAGAGGAGCUGUUACUGACGGCUGAAGAAAAGGUAAGCAAGCUGCAAAACUGCUUUUAUUACAAUAUAACGCCAAAACAGAACCACCAGAACAACUCUGCUUUUCUGUUUCUACAACGUCAUGCAGCUUCUUUACCCAUCAGCAUCUUUUGUCCAGAAUUAAUCCAAAUGACACUUAAUGACACCACAUGAUGUGGCGCCAGUGGUUUUUACAUCUCGGUACAAACCCAGCACUCCACUGGCGAUCUUUUCACAGCUGCAGGAAGCAUCCUGCAGUGAAUGCUUUUGUCGUUUAAAGCCAUGUAUUCAUAAGUCUAUUUAAUUACUUAGAGUUGGUCACCAUCCCUUCUGAAGUAUAUUGCUGCUUUAUUAAAGCAGAUCAGCAGUUUGCUUAGAUCAAUAUAAACAAAGGAAAGAGAAAGCAGAGUGGUUUAGGAGCUGUGAAGCUGAGAUAAACUCCUUUCUUUCUUAAACAAUCCACUGAUCCUAAAGAGAUCAACAUAUUUCCAUAUGCUAUUAUGAUCACAUACCUAUCACUUUUUCUUUACAACCUUAGAGGCUUUGGAGGAACAGUUUUCUUCCCAAGAGGACAUAAAAUUUAGCCUUUGUAACAUCAGGUUAAAAGAAAGAGCAGGAAGAUACCGGCCUUUUGGUAAUACCCUCGUAAUUAUCAGAGCAAGAUGGCUAUAAGCCAAGAUUUGGAGUACAAUUUUCACCUCUUAAUGGAUUUUGAUUACGUCUCCUAUACAAAAUCUCUAGGUUGAGAACAGACUGCUACUGGGAGUCUGUAGUUUCUGCUAUAGACUGUAUUCACCACAUAUAAUUUAUAACAUGCUGAAAUGAGACUGGCUGGUCAUUUUUAUUUUUUUUUGACACUUCAUCACUUUGUAGGGAAAAUAGCCAAAUAGGAGAUGGUCUUUCCCAUCUAAUGCAUCUGUUACAGCAUCACCGAUACCUAGGUAAAAAAGAUAUAGGUGUGCCUGGAACAGGCACCAAACAGCAAACUGUUUGGAGACAGCCUGAAAACAUUUUAAACUGGUUUUGAUGGUGUUUUAGUGUAACAAAAGAGUCUUCUUUAAUUUGUGUUUGCCUUUUCAACCACUGGUACAAAAUUGGAUGAUACUUCAUAAACUUAUCUGUACUAACACGCUUGACUGCUCUUAUGAAAAUUGUUCAUUUUAUAAUAUUUAAACUCUGUGAGCCUCUGAGUUCUCAAGUGCUAUGAAAAAAACCUCCCUGCAACAUGCAUUUUAUAUGUGGCUUUAAUUAUCUGCAAUGUGUGUCACUUUUAUUGAGGUUGUUCCCAGGUGCCUGUUUGCUGUGUUGAGUGGAAGUUCACCAGAGGGAUUGCUGACAAUCAUUACUCCUGGUGGAAUAAAGUCUGCUCUAGUGCCGUGGGCUCGUUUGGACUGAGGAUCUGCUCAGAGGCAGCUGCUGAAAACAAGACCAUAAGCCUUAUGCCCACGGUAUGCAAGAAUGUUUUUCAUGUACUGCCAUCUGCCGUCGCAGUGUACCCAUUUCAUCACUACACUGUUCUCCUGGGGUUUCCAUUCCAGAAGCAAGCACAUCCCUUCCAAGAAGCCUGUUAAAAAUGCAGUUAAGUUGGAAGGACUGCUUUAAUUCAUACGUGCUCUGCCUGAUACAGCAUGCAAUGAGAUUCUAAAAAUUCUGCUUUCAGUUGUGGCAAUAGCCAAAUGAGUGUUGUUUUUUCUCCCAUUUAAUUUACUUCAGUAGUAAAUUUGCAUUUUUAGUCAGACAACAGCCAGAGCAUUCAUGUUCUAAAUCAGCAGUAAAUUUACAGCAAAACAUACACACAUGUAUCACAAGCUUCACAUAUAUUUAUACACACCGAAAUUAUAAAAGAUCAUGCGAGGGCAUGAAUACAUUUCCAUGUACUGCCGUACUUAUUCAGAGUGGUGGUUCAGAAUACAUAUGUUAUGGUUUGCAUAUUUAUAAGCUAUGGAUUUGCAUCCAAAAUCUACUCAGUUAGAACCUUGUUCCCAACAUCUGUAUUAUAAAAAAAUAGAACGUAGUGUUGCAGAAGCUGGUAGGAAAAUAAAACAGUUUGUGUGUAAUUGAAUAAGGGGUGAUCACAGUGCGUAAGAAAGCAAUCCUAAAGCAGUCGGGCACAGAGGUACACAGUGAUAAACCAGUUGGCAAGAUGCUGAGAACAACAUUCAGGUUAAAGGUAUUUAAAACCUCUGUGUAUGCCUUGUCUGAAAGGGAAUCUCCUGUCUUGGAUAAUUCUAUGUAAUUCAGUGGAUCCAGGCCAAUUCCUAGCUCUUUUACUUAUUUCCUCUUCAAUCUGGGGCAGUGCAAAGCUCUGCCCCUGUAGCUCAUCUGCCCAAGAAAGCUAAUUAAGCUCCUUUCUCUCCUGCCUGUUUAAUUUGCAAGAUCUAUAGGCAGAGAUGUCUCUAGGUACAUACUGCCAUACAGGCUCAUUACUGUUCUAGGCUUGGAAUCAUCUGAACACGACUUAAAUGUUUCUAGAUCUAAGCUGACAAGGGAAAAGCUUUACAUUUUCAGGGCCUAAAGCAGCAUCUCCCCCUGGACCUGGA
This is a long non-coding RNA of Calidris pugnax (ruff), 5262 nucleotides long. RefSeq lists it as uncharacterized. Lineage: Eukaryota; Metazoa; Chordata; Aves; Charadriiformes; Scolopacidae. The transcript is spliced from 8 exons. The record is from RefSeq and is a predicted model, not a curated record.